RNAcentral lists this non-coding RNA (924 nucleotides) under Mannophryne trinitatis (Trinidad poison frog). RNAcentral's name for it is "12S ribosomal RNA". It matches the Rfam family "Bacterial small subunit ribosomal RNA". Lineage: Eukaryota; Metazoa; Chordata; Amphibia; Anura; Aromobatidae. The record is from RNAcentral.
AAGGUUUGGUCCUAGCCUUGAAAUCAGUUUUUAUUUAAUAUACACAUGCAAGUCUCCGCACCCCUGUGAAAACGCCCUUAAUCCCCUCAUGGGAAUAGGAGCUGGUAUCAGGCUCAACUCCCGCCCAAGACACCUAGCAUUGCCACACCCACAAGGGACCUCAGCAGUGAUUAACAUUGAGCAUAAGCGUCAGCUUGACUCAGUUAAACUUUAUAGAGCCGGCCAAUCUGGUGCCAGCCGCCGCGGUUAUACCAGAAGCUCAAAUUGAUUUCUAUCGGCGUAAAGCGUGAUUAAAGUUAAACAUUUAUUGGAGCCGAAUUAAAACUAAGCUGUGACACGCCUGUUACUUAAGAAGCCCUAAAACGAAAGUAACUCCAACACUCUCCACUUGAAUUCACGACAUCUGAGGCACAAACUGGGAUUAGAUACCCCACUAUGCUCAGUCGUAAACCUUUACCUACACCCUCUCUCGCCUGGGAACUACGAGCCAAGCUUAAAACCCAAAGGACUUGACGGUACCCCAUAUCCACCUAGAGGAGCCUGUCCUGUAAUCGAUAACCCACGUUCAACCUCACCAUUUUUAGCCUACUCAGCCUGUAUACCUCCGUCGUCAGCUUACCACGUGAGCGUUAGUGAGCUUAAUGUAAUCCCACCACACGUCAGGUCAAGGUGCAACUUAUGAAAUGGGAAGAGAUGGGCUACACUCUCUAAUUUAGAGUAUACGAAAGACUACCAAUGAAAAUUUGUCAGAAGGCGGAUUUAGCAGUAAACAGAAAUCAAUACAUUCCGUUUAAUUCGGCACUGGGGUGUGUACACACCGCCCGUCACCCUCCUCUAAUGCUAACCAUAGUUUUUAACCAACUUAAGCUACCCAGAAGAGGUAAGUCGUAACAUGGUAAGUAUACCGGAAGGUGUGCUUGGAUA